GGAGUCUGGGCCGUAUCUCAGUCCCAAUGUGGCCGUUCAACCUCUCAGUCCGGCUACUGAUCGUCGCCUUGGUGGGCCGUUACCCCGCCAACAAGCUAAUCAGAUAUGAGCCCAUCUUUCAGCGGAUUGCUCCUUUGGUAUCCAGGUGAUGCCACCCAAAUACAUUAUGCGGUAUUAGCAGUCGUUUCCAACUGUUGUCCCCCUCUGAAAGGCAGGUUGCUCAUACAUUACUCACCCGUCCGCCACUCGUCAUCAAAAGUAUUGCUACUUCCAUGUUACCGUUCGACUUGCAUGUAUUAGGCCUGCCGCCAGCGUUCAAU
Molecule: ribosomal RNA, 320 nt
Filed under: uncultured Oscillospiraceae bacterium
Lineage: Bacteria; Bacillati; Bacillota; Clostridia; Eubacteriales; Oscillospiraceae
Description: partial 16S ribosomal RNA
Source: RNAcentral